AAAUAGAAAGCAUUUCAAAGCUAAGGUUAUGGGUGGCAAUUUAUCCCUAACCGUAACUUUGAAGUGCUUUCUGUUU
MicroRNA precursor from Bos grunniens (domestic yak), 76 nucleotides. Lineage: Eukaryota; Metazoa; Chordata; Mammalia; Artiodactyla; Bovidae. The record is from Ensembl.